Molecule: small RNA, 203 nt
Filed under: Arabidopsis thaliana (thale cress)
Lineage: Eukaryota; Viridiplantae; Streptophyta; Magnoliopsida; Brassicales; Brassicaceae
Description: ATSL218480
Source: RNAcentral
AAUCUCGAUUCUCACAUAAUGGCCAAAAGAAAACAAGGGAGAUAACGGUUUCACUAACCAUAUAUGAACAUUAAUAACUGGUACUCCAACUAAUUUAUCCAAUUUCUUGAAGUACGGUAUUUCUUUCCAGGGAUCUGGUAAAAGGAGCUUCAGGAUAUCGACUACAAGAAAAACAUAAACAACAUAUUAAUAAGCAGGAUACC